ACAAGCGAAAAACUAGAAACUCCAAGGACUUGGCGGUGCCCCGCAUCGGCCUAGAGGAGCCUGUCCUAUAAUCGAUACCCCACGUUAAACCUUACCAUCUUUUGCCCUUCAGCCUAUAUACCGCCGUCGUCAGCCUACCUUAUGAAAGCAGAAUAGUAGGCAAAAAAGUUAAUAACUAGAACGUCAGGUCAAGGUGUAGCACACAAGAUGGGAGAGAUGGGCUACAUUUUCUACUCCAGAACAUACGAAUGACACAAUGAAACAUGUACCUAAAGGUGGAUUUAGUAGUAAGAUAGAUAAGCAACACUAUCUUAAACCCGCUCCGGGGCGCGCACACACCG
RNAcentral lists this ribosomal RNA (341 nucleotides) under Voeltzkowia mira. RNAcentral's name for it is "partial 12S ribosomal RNA". It matches the Rfam family "Bacterial small subunit ribosomal RNA", at positions 882 to 1392 of the family's 1533-position model. The record is from RNAcentral. Lineage: Eukaryota; Metazoa; Chordata; Lepidosauria; Squamata; Scincidae.